Molecule: non-coding RNA, 94 nt
Organism: Cytidiella melzeri
Lineage: Eukaryota; Fungi; Basidiomycota; Agaricomycetes; Polyporales; Irpicaceae
Source: the annotation of a GenBank genome assembly
GUCACUUUGCCGGAGUGGUUAACGGGAUCGCCUGCUAUUCAUAGUUGUUAGCGGUUGUGCUUUGCACGCGAGUGUUCGAAUCGCUCAGGUGACG